AAUCCAUAGGUUAAUGAGGCGAACCGGGGGAACUGAAACAUCUAAGUACCCCGAGGAAAAGAAAUCAACCGAGAUUCCCCCAGUAGCGGCGAGCGAACGGGGAGGAGCCCAGAGCCUGAAUCAGCAUGUGUGUUAGUGGAAGCGUCUGGAAAGGCGCGCGAUACAGGGUGACAGCCCCGUACACAAAAGCGCAUGUGCUGUGAGCUCGAUGAGUAGGGCGGGACACGUGGUAUCCUGUCUGAAUAUGGGGGGACCAUCCUCCAAGGCUAAAUACUCCUGACUGACCGAUAGUGAACCAGUACCGUGAGGGAAAGGCGAAAAGAACCCCGGCGAGGGGAGUGAAAAAGAACCUGAAACCGUGUACGUACAAGCAGUGGGAGCACCCUUUGGGUGUGACUGCGUACCUUUUGUAUAAUGGGUCAGCGACUUAUAUUCUGUAGCAAGGUUAACCGAAUAGGGGAGCCGGAGGGAAACCGAGUCUUAACCGGGCGUUAAGUUGCAGGGUAUAGACCCGAAACCCGGUGAUCUAGCCAUGGGCAGGUUGAAGGUUGGGUAACACUAACUGGAGGACCGAACCGACUAAUGUUGAAAAAUUAGCGGAUGACCUGUGGCUGGGGGUGAAAGGCCAAUCAAACCGGGAGAUAGCUGGUUCUCCCCGAAAGCUAUUUAGGUAGCGCCUCGUGAAUUCAUCUCCGGGGGUAGAGCACUGUUUCGGCUAGGGGGCCAUCCCGGCUUACCAACCCGAUGCAAACUGCGAAUACCGGAGAAUGUUAUCACGGGAGACACACGGCGGGUGCUAACGUCCGUCGUGAAGAGGGAAACAACCCAGACCGCCAGCUAAGGUCCCAAAGUCAUGGUUAAGUGGGAAACGAUGUGGGAAGGCCCAGACAGCCAGGAUGUUGGCUUAGAAGCAGCCAUCAUUUAAAGAAAGCGUAAUAGCUCACUGGUCGAGUCGGCCUGCGCGGAAGAUGUAACGGGGCUAAACCAUGCACC
This 993-nucleotide ribosomal RNA is filed under the name Salmonella enterica. RNAcentral describes it as "partial 23S ribosomal RNA". It matches the Rfam family "Bacterial large subunit ribosomal RNA", at positions 161 to 1195 of the family's 2925-position model. Lineage: Bacteria; Pseudomonadati; Pseudomonadota; Gammaproteobacteria; Enterobacterales; Enterobacteriaceae. The record is from RNAcentral. RNAcentral also lists the same sequence under 1 other name.